GUGGAUUAGAUACCCUGGUAGUCCUAGCCGUAAACGAUGGGCACUAGGUGUGGGAGGUAUCGACCCCUUCCGUGCCGCAGCUAACGCAUUAAGUGCCCCGCCUGGGGAGUACGGCCGCAAGGUUGAAACUCAAAGGAAUUGACGGGGGCCCGCACAAGCGGUGGAGCAUGUGGUUUAAUUCGACGCAACGCGAAGAACCUUACCAGGGCUUGACAUCCCGCGAAUCCUGCCGAAAGGCAGGAGUGCCCGCAAGGGAGCGCGGAGACAGGUGGUGCACGGUCGUCGACAGCU
This 291-nucleotide ribosomal RNA is filed under the name uncultured bacterium. Its description in RNAcentral is "partial 16S ribosomal RNA". It matches the Rfam family "Bacterial small subunit ribosomal RNA", at positions 773 to 1060 of the family's 1533-position model. The record is from RNAcentral.